GCAGGCUUAACACAUGCAAGUCGAACGGUAACAGGGAUUAGCUUGCUAAUUUGCUGACGAGUGGCGGACGGGUGAGUAAUGCUUGGGAAUCUAGCUUAUGGAGGGGGAUAACCACGGGAAACUGUAGCUAAUACCCGCGUUAAAAUCUUCGGAUUAAAGGGUGGGACUUUCGGGCCACCUGCCAUAAGAUGAGCCCAAGUGGGAUUAGGUAGUUGGUUAGGUAAAGGCUGACCAAGCCGACGAUCUCUAGCUGGUCUGAGAGGAUGACCAGCCACACUGGAACUGAGACACGGUCCAGACUCCUACGGGAGGCAGCAGUGGGGAAUAUUGCACAAUGGGGGGAACCCUGAUGCAGCCAUGCCGCGUGAAUGAAGAAGGCCUUCGGGUUGUAAAGUUCUUUCGGUGACGAGGAAGGUUGAUAGGUUAAUAGCCUAUCAAAUUGACGUUAAUCACAGAAGAAGCACCGGCUAACUCCGUGCCAGCAGCCGCGGUAAUACGGGGGGUGCGAGCGUUAAUCGGAAUAACUGGGCGUAAAGGGCACGCAGGCGGUGACUUAAGUGAGAUGUGAAAGCCCCGGGCUUAACCUGGGAAUUGCAUUUCAUACUGGGUCGCUAGAGUACUUUAGGGAGGGGUAGAAUUCCACGUGUAGCGGUGAAAUGCGUAGAGAUGUGGAGGAAUACCGAAGGCGAAGGCAGCCCCUUGGGAAUGUACUGACGCUCAUGUGCGAAAGCGUGGGGAGCAAACAGGAUU
This 750-nucleotide ribosomal RNA is filed under the name uncultured Pasteurellales bacterium. Its description in RNAcentral is "bacterial SSU rRNA". It matches the Rfam family "Bacterial small subunit ribosomal RNA", at positions 42 to 779 of the family's 1533-position model. Lineage: Bacteria; Pseudomonadati; Pseudomonadota; Gammaproteobacteria; Pasteurellales. The record is from RNAcentral.